UCUCAAAGGAGAUGGCUGGGACGUGAGUGAGCAGGUGGCCCCCUGCCUUCUCCUGGGCCAUGGGCGUGGGAGUCUGCAGGACCAGCCCGUGCGCCGCUUGUUGAUGUCGAAGGGCAACACAAAAGAAGACAAAGGCCAUCAAUUCAAUGCAAAUAUUACUGUAUUAAAGGAAAUUGUUGUAUUAAGCUUGCUUUGAAAACCGUUUGAAUGGCUUGGAUAGGCCUAUGGAGAUGGUGGAAAACAUCCUGAUUAGAAGGGGACGUUUGCGAGGCUUCUCCUGUUGAGAGGUGGAGGGAAGACCCUCUGGGAGUCCAGGAUGUGCCACUAUGUUGGGCGACAGAAGAGAGAGAGUUGACAUGCACUUUCAUUUAGAAAUGAUGUUAUAUUGUAUUCUUAGUUUCAACUCAUUAUUACUUUCACAAAUAAAUGAGAACCAGAAUCUUGA
Long non-coding RNA from Oncorhynchus kisutch (coho salmon), 445 nucleotides. RefSeq lists it as uncharacterized. The record is from RefSeq and is a predicted model, not a curated record. Lineage: Eukaryota; Metazoa; Chordata; Actinopteri; Salmoniformes; Salmonidae. The transcript is spliced from 2 exons.